This 618-nucleotide long non-coding RNA is filed under the name Actinidia chinensis (golden kiwifruit). RNAcentral's name for it is "long non-coding RNA (ACHI_LNC007109)". Lineage: Eukaryota; Viridiplantae; Streptophyta; Magnoliopsida; Ericales; Actinidiaceae. The record is from RNAcentral.
CAUAGUUGCUGUUUGCCAUUAUUUUUCGAUCCCUAAAUCUGUCCAAACAAAAACAAUCCGCUCAUUCAUUCAAAAUGCAUUCUAGUACAGGGUUUCCUAACAAACAAUCCAUACUUCCUUUCUAAAUUGAUGAAAAAACAACUUUCAAGCAUAAGAUUAAACCCUCUGUUGGUUGCCGAAAACAAGCAAACUGAAAAGAAGUGAAUAGUUUCAAUGUUUUUCCUUUUACCAAGUUUAUGAUUAAGAAAACGAAAUCGAAUUCAAUCUAAAGCAGAGUGAAUCGUCAAAAUACAGAAUCAGAAACAAAAAACCUGAGCAUGAUCAAAAUAUUGACAAGAAACAAAACCCUAAAAGUCCCAAAUUUUCGAGACAUGUCGCGCGAAUCAGAUCGGAAAACGAGAGAAAUGAGAAUUCCUUACCCGAAGAAUUCGAUUCACGCAACUUCCACUUGAAGGCAUUGAAUCUUAUCUGAACAAGUAAAGUUUAUUCGUGUUUAGUUUGGGGUUUUUGGAUUCGAACUGGAAUGGGCACGAUCGGCUAGGGUUUGGGGGUUCGAGAAACGUAACGAGUUUCGAAGUUUUAUUGGUAUUUUUGGCUAAUUUUGUUAAUCAGAAUGAC